AUAACCUGCCUUUCAGGCAUCCUCUCCUAGAACUUAAAAGGCCGCCUCCGGGCGGCCAUUUUUUUGCUUGCA
RNAcentral lists this small RNA (72 nucleotides) under Sphingomonas sanxanigenens DSM 19645 = NX02. Its description in RNAcentral is "Makes More Granules Regulator RNA (mmgR)". It matches the Rfam family "Makes More Granules Regulator RNA (mmgR)". From Rfam's summary of the family: SuhB later renamed mmgR (makes more granules regulator) was a putative non-coding RNA found multiple times in the Agrobacterium tumefaciens genome and related alpha-proteobacteria. Other non-coding RNAs uncovered in the same analysis include: speF, ybhL, metA, and serC. The record is from Rfam by way of RNAcentral. Lineage: Bacteria; Pseudomonadati; Pseudomonadota; Alphaproteobacteria; Sphingomonadales; Sphingomonadaceae.